CCUACGGGUGGCUGCAGUGAGGAAUAUUGGUCAAUGGGCGCGAGCCUGAACCAGCCAAGUCGCGUGAGGGAUGAAGGUUCUAUGGAUCGUAAACCUCUUUUAUAAGGGAAUAAAGUGUGGGACGUGUCCUAUUUUGUAUGUACCUUAUGAAUAAGGAUCGGCUAACUCCGUGCCAGCAGCCGCGGUAAUACGGAGGAUCCGAGCGUUAUCCGGAUUUAUUGGGUUUAAAGGGUGCGUAGGCGGCCUUUUAAGUCAGCGGUGAAAGUCUGUGGCUCAACCAUAGAAUUGCCGUUGAAAAUGGGGGGGGUGGGGAUGAGUGAGGCAAGCGGAAAGCGAGGGGUAGGGGUGGAAUGCUUAGAAAUCAAG
This 366-nucleotide ribosomal RNA is filed under the name uncultured bacterium. Its description in RNAcentral is "partial 16S ribosomal RNA". It matches the Rfam family "Bacterial small subunit ribosomal RNA", at positions 338 to 701 of the family's 1533-position model. The record is from RNAcentral.